GAAUGGUCUUUUUCGUGAUCUUCCACAGCUUUCUUGAACUGUGUUGUGUGAGGUUUCUCCAAGUGAAGGUUUAAGAUCCCUUAUGCAACAUAAAUUCUUUGAGCACAAUUCAAGAUAGCUGUGGAAAAUCACUGAGAUGAUCUCGUUC
Molecule: microRNA precursor, 148 nt
Filed under: Glycine max (soybean)
Lineage: Eukaryota; Viridiplantae; Streptophyta; Magnoliopsida; Fabales; Fabaceae
Description: miR396h stem-loop (gma-MIR396h)
Gene: gma-MIR396h
Source: miRBase by way of RNAcentral